RNAcentral lists this long non-coding RNA (1227 nucleotides) under Heterocephalus glaber (naked mole-rat). Its description in RNAcentral is "lncRNA (ENSHGLG00000034249.1)". Lineage: Eukaryota; Metazoa; Chordata; Mammalia; Rodentia; Bathyergidae. The record is from RNAcentral.
UUGAAGUUUAAAUUCUAAAUAUGUUAUAAAUUGAUUACAUUGGUUAUCCUUGAUGUUUAAGCACUAAAUAUGUUAUUGUAAAGUGUUUACAUUAGUUAAGUUCUGAAUAUGUUAUUGUAAUAUGUCCACAUUGGUCAUCUUCAAAAGCUUAAUUUCUGUGUCAUAAAAAAGAGAGUGUUAUUACAAAGAUGGUUUUGCUACCAAACUACAGUGAAGAACAUAAGGUUUUAUGUAACUGUGAUAUUUAUUACAGCUCCUUUUCUGGUGUUCAAAAUGUAUUCAUUCCCUCUAAUUGUAUGGGUCUUCCAACAUAUUGUUUAUGAUAAUAACCUUUUGAUUCAGGUAUUUGCCCUUCUCUUAUGCUCCAGCCACCUAUAAAAAUAGGCACACUUGUAUGCUGAUAUAUUUUCCUUAGAUGACUUCCUAUAAAAAGCUACUCAGGGAUUUAACCACAAGAACAACUAUCAUUGGCAAUAAUAACAGUUUAACUAUAUUUUUAUUCCAAAAUGCUUAUAUCCAGGUAAAAUUAUAAUAGUUGAGUUCAAUACUCCUCUUACAAUGCUAAUGUUAUUGAUCUUCUCUUCUGGGUGUUCAACAACCAAAGUUUAGAGACCAAAACUGAAGAGGUAUUUGGGCUAAGAAGGCAGCCAAUAUUUUGGCCCUGGCCCUCCAAGGUCAACAACAAUAACAAAAAGAUCCAGGACAUGAGGGAACCAUCUCCAAGAUCCUGCAUUUUUGCCCAGCUACAGAAUAACUCCAGUUUGCCCUCCGGUCACAACUGAGACUUCAGUGAUCCAGUGAUGCUGUGAUUCUCCAGGACAAGAAACAUCCUGGGAGAAUAAACAUCUGCUCAGUUCCUCAUUGUUCUUGGACUGUUAACAUCUUGUUUACCGGAGAUGUACUGAACUCUCUGCAAGCCUUUUGUUACACCUUGUUUAUCCCAAUGUGAACUACUGAACUCUCUGCAAGUCAUUUGUUACAUUUGUUUCUACCGAUGUACUGAAUUCUCUGCAAGUCAUUUGUUACGAGGUACUGAAAAAAAGGUGUGGUAAGCUGGGGGCUUUUGUCUUUGCCGCCCAGAGCAGCACUGAUCAGACCCAAAGCUCAGCUUCUUCUCAGUCUCAUUUUUCUACCUUUCCUGUAAUUCGCCGUGUGCUGCCAUGGCUCACAGGAGACCAGGACUAACUGCAGAGGUUCUGGUAACGUCCCCUUCCCCUGUUCCCUACA